UGUUGUGGAAUACCAAAAAGUAGCACAUACUGUAGUGCUUGAGAAACCAGAGUUUGUUGUGGUAUCUGAGGAACUCAUGCCUGAUGAAGAACCCCAAAAACUCAAAUAUGGCGUGAUGCCCCCAAAACAGAAGCCCAUUGUGGAAUCCCAAAAAUUUGAACAUGUUGUAGUGCUUGAGAGGCAAGAAUUUGAUGUGGCACCUGAGGAACCCAUGCCUGAUGUGCCACCCCAAAAGUUAAAAUAUGUGAUGCCCCCAGAACACAAGCCGGUUCUGGAAUCCCAGAAAUCAAGAAAACCAGAACCAUUUAUGGUCCCUGAGGAAUAUGAGCUCAUACUGGUGUCUGAGGAGUCAGAGACAGUUGAAUCAACUCAAAAAUCAAAGCGUGUUGUGGUGCCCCCCAAAACAAAACAUUUUGUGCGGUCCCAAAAAGCAGAGUUUGCAGCAGCUGAAGAAACAGACUUUGCUGCAGACUUCCGGAAGUCAAUGACUUCUGCAGUGUCCAGAAAAUCAAAGGCUUUUGUGUCAGAAUCUGUCAUGGUGUCUGAGGAACCAGAAACUGUUUUAGCACCCCAAAGCCUAGAGCCUUCUACACCACUUCGAAAACCAAAGCCUGAAGCAGCAUCCAAAGAACCAGAGCUCAUUUUGGCACCGGAGGAACCACCACCAGCCAAGCUGGCCGAAAAGGAAGAGCAUGUUGCUGCUAAAAAGCGAGCAGCUGCACAACCUAAAGUGCCUGAGAUGGCUGAGAGGACUGUUCCAGAGAAGAAAGUUCCCCCUGCUCUAUCUAAAAAACCAGAAGCUUCACUUCCUAAAGGUACAUGUCACCACUAUUAUCAUCAUAAGAAAGGGUGUUGUUUGUUUUUUAGGGUUAUUUUAAAUGAAUCUCAGUUUAAAUUUGUUUUUCCCUGCAUACUUUGAUAUCAAAAAUGUGGGAGAGAUAUGCCAAAUAUGAAUUGCUGUGCAGGGGUCUGAAAUGUUUCUUCAGCUUAAACCAUCUAAACUCUUGUUAUACUGGCUUUAUGUCAUAUCAAGCAGAUAUGAUAAACUCCUGUCUACCAAAAACCUGCCAAAAUCUUAUGGAUACAAGAGAAGGAGUUCAUAAACAGUUGUUCACACUAUUAGUAGGCAUGACUUCAUACAUGUUUUAGUGGGACUGGGCAGUGUUAUAUUUACUGUUAGAUUUGAUAAUCCUAAAAUCUUUUUCAACCUAAAUGAUUCCAUGAGGAAAGACAAAAUAGAAACUAUUCUGUUUGACUACUCUGUUUCAGCAGAGAGUAGUAGUUUCAGUACACAGAGCAAAAGAAUCGCAAAUAUCUCUAUGUAUCUGUAUAACAGAGCAGAAUAUUUUAUUUAAACUGUUCUUAUUUUUUUUCUGUAUUUUGGUCAUACAUAAACACUUUUGACUACAGGAUUUGCAAAGCUGUCACUUUGUAUAAAUAGCAUUAAAGACCUGUAAAGCAACUGUGAGCAUAUAAUACAGUGAG
Molecule: long non-coding RNA, 1485 nt
Filed under: Cyanistes caeruleus (blue tit)
Lineage: Eukaryota; Metazoa; Chordata; Aves; Passeriformes; Paridae
Description: lncRNA (ENSCCEG00000009577.1)
Source: RNAcentral